CCUACGGGUGGCAGCAGUGAGGAAUAUUGGUCAAUGGCCGGAAGUCUGAACCAGCCAAGCCGCGUGAAGGACGAAUGUGCCAAGCAUUGUAAACUUCUUUUGUCUAGGGACAAAAUCAUGCUCGAGAGCCUGACCGUAUGUACUUUAAGAAAAAGCAUCGGCUAACUCCGUGCCAGCAGCCGCGGUAAUACGGAGGAUGCGAGCGUUAUCCGGAUUUAUUGGGGUUAAAGGGUGCGUAGGCGGAUUGUUAAGUCAGGGGUGAAAGGCUGGGGCUCAACCCCAAGAGAGCAGUUGAAACUGGCUGUCUUGAGAUGUGGAGAGGUAGGCGGAAUGCGUGGUGUAGCGGUGAAAUGCUUAGAUAUUGCGCAGAACUCCGAUUGCGAAGGCAGCAUACCGGAGGCGAUCUGACGCUGAGGCACGAAAGCGUGGGUAUCGAACAGGAUUAGAUACCCUUGUAGUC
Molecule: ribosomal RNA, 460 nt
Filed under: uncultured bacterium
Lineage: Bacteria
Description: partial 16S ribosomal RNA
Rfam family: Bacterial small subunit ribosomal RNA
Source: RNAcentral